UUGAAUGUCUUUCCAUGGGUUUGUUGGCUAUUUAUAUAUCUUCUUCAGAGAAAAUAUCUAUUUAAAUCUUUUGCUGAUAUUUUAAUUAGAUUAUUGAUUUUCUGCUGUGGUAGUAAGAAUUAUUUAUAUAUUCUGAAUAUUAGGUCUUUAUCAGAUAUAUAAUUUAUAAAUAUUUUCUUUUAUUAUGUGGAUUAUCUUUACCUUUCUUGGCAGUAGCCUUUGAUGCACAAAAGUAUUUAAUUUUAAUGUAGUCCAAUUUAUUUAUUUUUCAGUUGUAUGCUUACGAUUGUUAUAAAUUCUUAAUGGAUUGACACUCAUCCUAUAUAUAACUUCAUUUGUCUUAUGUAAAAAAAAUAUUUAAAGUCUAUUAAUCUGAUAUUAGUAGGGCUAACACUCCUCUCUUUUGGUUACUAUGUUCAGGGAGUGUCUCUCUCCAUCCUUUCCUUUUUAAUCAAUUUGUAUCUUUGGAUUUUAUGUGAGUCUUUUGUGGACAGGAUAUAAUGGAAUCAUUUUUUAAAGUUCAUUCUGCCAAUUUCUAUCUUCCAAUGCAUUAAACGGUGAGUUUAAUCAGUUUAUAUCUGUAGUAAUUACUGAUAAAGGAAGGACUUACUUCUGGCAUUUUUCUAUUUGCUUUCUUUAUGUCAUAUCUUUUUUUGUUCCUUAAUUCUUUCAUUAAUGCUUUUUGGUUUUUGUUUUUUGGUUUUUUUUUUUUUUGUCUUUUGUCUUUUUUGUUGUUGUUAUUGUUGCUAUCUCUUGGUUAUUGGGCCGCUCCCGCGGCAUAUGGAGGUUCCCAGGCUAGGGGUUGAAUCGGAGCUGUAGCCACCAGCCUACGCCAGAGCCACAGCAACGCGGGAUCCGAGCCGCGUCUGCAACCUACACCACAGCUCACCGCAACGCCGGAUCAUUAACCCACUGAGCAAGGGCAGGGACCGAGAACCUGCAACCUCAUGGUUCCUUGUCGGAUUCGUUAACCACUGCGCCACGACGGGAACUCCGCUUUUUGGUUUUUUUAAAUGACUUUUUCUAGUGUAUUAUUUUGAUUUCAUCCUCAUUUCCUUUUAUAUACUUGCAGGGUUUUUUUAGGGGUUACCAUGAAUAUUACAAUUAAUACCUAAUUGUAGAAAAGUCUAGCUUAAACCGAUAGCAACUUAGCUUCAAUAGCACAGAAAUCCCUGCUCCUCUGUAAAUCUGUCUCUUUCCCUUAUGUUGUUACUAUCAUAAAUUACAUCUCUGUACCAUAUGUACUUGUAAAUGUAUAUGCAUAAUUAUUGUUUUAUCUAUUUGUCUUUAACUCAUAUAGAAAAAAGAAAAGUUACAAACCAAAAAUGAAUAAUACUGGCUUUUAUAUUUAACUUUAUGGUUACCUUUACUAUUAUUCUUUAUUUCUUCAUAUGGCUUUGAGUUACUGUCUAGUGUUCUUCAUUUUAUCUUGAAAAACUACUUUGGCAUUUCUCAUAGAGAUUGGUAUAAUCACAACAGUCCUUUUAUCUAGGAAUGUCUUCGUUUAUUCUUCAUUUUUGAAGAAUAGCAUUGAUGGACAUAUAAUUUUUUGUUGACAGCUUUUUAUGUGUGUAGAUCCCUGGUAGAGGCAGAAGCCCUGUAAAGCCCUCAUUCUCCCAUAUAUCUUUUCUUCAGCUUCAUGCUUCUCAGCCUUUUAGGUCUGUCUUAGAGUAUCUGGCCCCAUCUGAUCUGUCUUGCCACAGUUGGUUGUGAUAGCACAUGUUUUUAAAUGCUUUGGAAAAGCAUUUCCCAAGAGCCCACUCCAGCCACGAGAGAGUUGCAAGAGGGUACAAAUAAAGGCAAGUCUUAGAGCCAAUCCACUAGCUAACCACCAAACGGGUCAAAUGAUAACCGUGACAAUGGCUACUGCCAAUCUGAGGAAUGGAGGGUGGUAGGCUGGAAAGCAAAAAUACCAUGACACCCAUUAAGCUUAAUCUGUGAACUUGGAACAAAAUGUACCAUAGGAUUAGUAAUGAGAAUUAAACUGGAUAAUGUAUGAUUAAUUCACAUUUUGUCCAAUAAAUGCCUGCUAUUAUCACUAUUAUUUAUAAAAAGAUGUGGUUUUUUUUCUUUUUUUUUUGAUAUUGUAGACAAAGAGCAGAGUAGUUCUUUCUGAACACAUUGGACAACAUUUUAUUAUUUUUUUAACUGUUAACAUACUAAAUCAAGAGUUAGCAACUGUGACUUAUGACUAACCAAGAAGAAUGGAAUAUUGCCUCCAUUCGUACCACCCUCAAAUUCCUCAUUAUUAUGUCUGUCAGCAGAGCCAGACUGGCCCAGCUAUGCAUUAGUUAUCAUGAUAGAGAAUUUUGAAGGUCAAAAGAUGGUUUCUACUCCCAAAUAGCCCUUCUACCAACUUUGCAAGAUAUCUAGAAAAUCCUUUCGAUUAAGGCACUAAAGACUUGCCGCAAAGUAAAUUUAAACCAGAUGAAGUAAUUAUUUAUAUUUUUUAAGAUUUUUCCCCAACUUCGUCUCAUACUUUCAUUGCCUAUGUAACUGGCUGUUUUAGAAUAUUAAACACUGAUGCAGUUGGAGAUCCCUGCAUUUUCCAGAAUAAGUGGGAAAUCUUGAUAGGUCAACCUGUACAUUUUAUUCCAUAGGUUCUGGAGAAAACAGUUAUUGUUCAAACCUCCUAAUCAGUUAGUGUUCAGCAAGGAAAAUAGAGCACACUGUAUUUAUUCCAAGUACGAAGGAUUUAAUAGUGGAAUUAGGGG
This 2714-nucleotide long non-coding RNA is filed under the name Sus scrofa (pig). RNAcentral's name for it is "lncRNA (ENSSSCG00035030458.1)". The record is from RNAcentral. Lineage: Eukaryota; Metazoa; Chordata; Mammalia; Artiodactyla; Suidae.